RNAcentral lists this ribosomal RNA (459 nucleotides) under uncultured bacterium. RNAcentral's name for it is "partial 16S ribosomal RNA". It matches the Rfam family "Bacterial small subunit ribosomal RNA", at positions 338 to 795 of the family's 1533-position model. The record is from RNAcentral.
CCUACGGGAGGCAGCAGUGAGGAAUAUUGGUCAAUGGGCGCGAGCCUGAACCAGCCAAGUCGCGUGAGGGAAGACGGUCCUAUGGAUUGUAAACCUCUUUUGUCGGGGAGCAAAAGACGCCACGCGUGGCGUUCCGAGAGUACCCGAAGAAAAAGCAUCGGCUAACUCCGUGCCAGCAGCCGCGGUAAUACAGAGGAUGCGAGCGUUAUCCGGAUUUAUUGGGGUUAAGGGGUGCGCAGGCGGAAGAUCAAGUCAGCGGUAAAAUUGAGAGGCUCAACCUCGUCGAGCCGUUGAAACUGGUUGUCUUGAGUGAGUGAGAAGUAGGCGGAAUGCGUGGUGUAGCGGUGAAAUGCAUAGAUAUCACGCAGAACUCCGAUUGCGAAGGCAGCAUACCGGCGCUCAACUGACGCUCAUGCACGAAAGUGUGGGUAUCGAACAGGAUUAGAUACCCUGGUAGUC